GGGACUGGAAAGAUGGCUCAGAG
This 23-nucleotide non-coding RNA is filed under the name Cricetulus griseus (Chinese hamster). Lineage: Eukaryota; Metazoa; Chordata; Mammalia; Rodentia; Cricetidae. The record is from RNAcentral.